Molecule: long non-coding RNA, 274 nt
Filed under: Lathyrus oleraceus (garden pea)
Lineage: Eukaryota; Viridiplantae; Streptophyta; Magnoliopsida; Fabales; Fabaceae
Description: Pisum sativum (pea) long non-coding RNA (PSAT_LNC016653)
Source: RNAcentral
UUGAGCUUUGGAAAUUCCUUGAUAGCAUCUUUAGAUAUGAUCUUUAUCAUACUCUUGAGGUUGAUAUGACCAAGUUUUUAGUGCCAUAACUUGGCGUCAUCUACCUUGGAUAUAAAACAUGUUGAGGGCUGACUUUUGUUUUUAGAUACCCAUAAAUAAUACUUGUCUUUGGAUCUUGAUCCUUUCAUUAACACUUCUAGAUAUUUUAUGGAAAUAAUGCAUUCUGAUUUGUUAGAGCUCACAUUCAUACCUUGAUCACAUAUUUAACUUAUAA